ACUCCUACGGGAGGCAGCAGUGGGGAAUUUUGGACAAUGGGCGCAAGCCUGAUCCAGCCAUGCCGCGUGCAGGAUGAAGGCCUUCGGGUUGUAAACUGCUUUUGUACGGAACGAAAAGACUCCUUUUAAUAAAGGGGGUUCAUGACGGUACCGUAAGAAUAAGCACCGGCUAACUACGUGCCAGCAGCUGCGGUAAUACGUAGGGUGCAAGCGUUAAUCGGAAUUACUGGGCGUAAAGCGUGCGCAGGCGGUUAUAUAAGACAGAUGUGAAAUCCCCGGGCUCAACCUGGGAACUGCAUUUGUGACUGUAUAGCUGGAGUACGGCAGAGGGGGAUGGAAUUCCGCGUGUAGCAGUGAAAUGCGUAGAUAUGCGGAGGAACACCGAUGGCGAAGGCAAUCCCCUGGGCCUGUACUGACGCUCAUGCACGAAAGCGUGGGGAGCAAACAGGAUUAGAUACCCUGGUAGUCCACGCCCUAAACGAUGUCAACUGGUUGUUGGGAAUUCACUUUCUCAGUAACGAAGCUAACGCGUGAAGUUGACCGCCUGGGGAGUACGGCCGCAAGGUUGAAACUCAAAGGAAAUUGACGGGG
This 591-nucleotide ribosomal RNA is filed under the name uncultured bacterium. RNAcentral describes it as "bacterial SSU rRNA". It matches the Rfam family "Bacterial small subunit ribosomal RNA", at positions 335 to 918 of the family's 1533-position model. The record is from RNAcentral.